This 516-nucleotide ribosomal RNA is filed under the name uncultured bacterium. RNAcentral describes it as "bacterial SSU rRNA". It matches the Rfam family "Bacterial small subunit ribosomal RNA", at positions 1 to 507 of the family's 1533-position model. The record is from RNAcentral.
UUAGAUAGUAGAAGGAUAAUUGGGAGCAGGGGCAUGUAAGAACCGAAACUCGAGCAUCACGCUUUUCCAAGUGAAUAGCACAUGCAAAAACUUGGGCGCUGAGUGUUGAGCACGCGGUGAGAGUGGCGGACGGGCGAGUAACGCGUGAGCAACCAACCUUGCACUGGGGGAUAACGUCGGGAAACCGGCGCUAAUACCGCAUGACAUUACUGGAUCGCAUGGUCUUGUAAUCAAAGCUCCGGCGGUGCGAGACGGGCUCGCGUCCAAUUAGCUGGUUGGCGGGGUAAAGGCCCACCAAGGCGACGAUUGGUAGCCGAACUGAGAGGUUGAUCGGCCGCAUUGGGACUGAGACACGGCCCAGACUCCUACGGGAGGCAGCAGUGGGGAAUCUUGCGCAAUGGGGGAAACCCUGACGCAGCGACGCCGCGUGAAGGAAGAAGGCCUUCGGGUUGUAAACUUCUUUGAUCGGGGACGAAGCAGACGGUACCCGAGGAACAAGCCACGGCUAACUACGUG